CCUACGGGGGACUGCAGUGAGGAAUAUUGGUCAAUGGGCGGAAGCCUGAACCAGCCAAGUCGCGUGAGGGAAUAAGGCCCUACGGGUCGUAAACCUCUUUUGCCGGGGAGCAAGGGCCGGGACGCGUCCCGGCCCGGAGAGUACCCGGAGAAAAAGCAUCGCCUAACUCCGUGCCAGCAGCCGCGGUAAUACGGAGGAUGCGGGCGUUAUCCGGAUUUAUUGGGUUUAAAGGGAGCGUAGAUGGGUUGUUAAGUCAGUUGUGAAAGUCUGCGGCUCAACCGUAAAAUUGCAAUUGAUACUGGCAGUCUUGAGUACAGUUGAGGUAGGCGGAAUUCGUGGUGUAGCGGUGAAAUGCUUAGAUAUCACGAAGAACCCCGAUUGCGAAGGCAGCUUACUAGACUGUGACUGACAUUGAUGCUCGAAAGUGUGGGUAUCAAACAGGAUUAGAUACCCUAGUAGUC
Molecule: ribosomal RNA, 461 nt
Filed under: uncultured bacterium
Lineage: Bacteria
Description: partial 16S ribosomal RNA
Rfam family: Bacterial small subunit ribosomal RNA
Source: RNAcentral